This is a long non-coding RNA of Panicum virgatum (switchgrass), 409 nucleotides long. RefSeq lists it as uncharacterized. NCBI's taxonomy places the organism in Eukaryota, Viridiplantae, Streptophyta, Magnoliopsida, Poales, Poaceae. The transcript has 2 exons. The record is from RefSeq and is a predicted model, not a curated record.
GGUACAGAAAACCCGGUUGAGUUUCACGAGAGUGGGAGAUGCACUGGAGGAGGAACUGGACCAAGUGUACUUGCGCCCAUGGAGAGAAAUUGCAGCUUCUCUUGAUUGUCUUGGGGACCAUACACACAAGUGAGCCACCAAGGGCUGCCACUGGCUGAGCAAAACUGAACUGAUGCACUGUGGUUGUCCUUUCGGCUUGCCUGUAUAGCACCCAGUCGACUUCUCCAAGCGAUCAGAAUUCCACCACUAGCACCGACAGAAGGGAGGCAUAUGUAAUUAUUAUCAAAAUCGCUGCCGAGCAUUGAAAGAAUUAUUUCUCUAGAGAUUGCAACCAUCUUAGUUUCUUGUAGACAAACGAUGUCAAUUUUAGUUGAGACAACCAAACUACAGACAACAUUUCUUCUUGCUA